This 3489-nucleotide long non-coding RNA is filed under the name Triticum aestivum (bread wheat). Its description in RNAcentral is "long non-coding RNA (TAES_LNC004989)". The record is from RNAcentral. Lineage: Eukaryota; Viridiplantae; Streptophyta; Magnoliopsida; Poales; Poaceae.
CUCCUCCCUCUGUCGCCGCCGCCGCCUCGCCCCUCCCCUGCGCUCGUGCCCUCUCCUUCUCCCACCCCGGGCUCCAUCUUCUCCGGCCCCUUCCUGCGCUCCAUCCCUUCCUCCUCGUUGUGGCAGGCAUCGCCGCUGCUGCGGAGGGCUCCUUAACGCCGCCGCAUCCGAGACAGCCCUAGUUGUGGCAGGCAGCUCCAUCACCGGUCACGUGCGGCGGAGGCCAGCCCAGAUCCGCCUCCUCCAGCCCAUCCUCUUCGUCACGCACAACGGGAAUGGUUGGGUUUGAGCUCCGCCACCCCAUCCCAUGCCGUUGUUCGUCGGUAGCAGACCGAGCUCCGCCUCCACACCCACCGUCCUUCCUUGUCGGCCCUUUUGUGUGUCGGGAACGGACCUCGGCGGCGUUUGCCGGACAGGACCUCAACGGCGACCUGCAGGUCCUCAUUGAGAUGCCUGGAUACUUAUCUAAAUAUAAGGUGCCUGCCAUUAUUGAUUCCUUUGGAUAAUUCAUAAGCUGAUUAUUAGCAGGUGUACGUGCUGAUGAUAAAAGGAGCACUACUCAACCAAAUGGUUUGAUUUUUUGAGUCUAAUGAAACACUGUUAGUUCACUUUCUUAAACUUGUUUAAAAAUGGUUAGUACCUCGAGUUCCAGGAGUUCAAAUUAUCACACAUAUUAGAAGAGAAGUCGUCACCUUUCAGCUGUUUUCUUGAAUCAAAAUGUGUUUCUAUACUAAUGCCUAGGAAACAAUUCAUACCAUAUUAGUAAUUUCAGAAUCGCUGAGUCUUCUUCAUUCUCUGAUCUAGAAAGUUUAUGUUGUAAAUUUUGCAUUAGGACUAUACAGCUAAUGAUUUGUGGAUGGUAAGGUGCCAUUAUAACAGUGAUUUCACUUUUAUUUGUACCGCUUCGACUUCUGUAAAUUCGUAGACUACUAAUUGUUACAAUGAAAGAAAAUGAUUUAGUUCAAAUAUGAGAGCUAUUUAGUGAUGUGGUCUUUGGAUUUUUCCAUUCAGAUGUUAGAGCUCCUGUGGUACUCAGAUAUUGAUGCAUCAUGGGGCUGGAGAAGGUCCUUUUAUGCGUGAUGUCAUUUUAAUACCGGUUUCAAAUUUGCUUUAUCUUGUUUUCCCUCAUUCAUUAAAUUAUAGGAUUCUAUUUGUUUGUAUGACUAAAUGCAUAUAUGAAAUUGUUCUUGACAGAUGAUUGUAACUAAGGUCAAGUUCUAGGUAUAAAAAAUGAUCUGCUAGAUCAUGCUCUUGCAAUAACUGAUUUCGCUAUCAAGUCUACAAUCCAAUGUUGAUCUAGAAGGUAGAAUCUUUAAACUUCAUUGAUGCUUUCUUGGCCGUUUUGAUCUAAUAUCUCUCUGAUGUGGUUAGUAUAAAUAUAUGGUGGUAUAAUUAGUUUUUGCUUUUUUUGUGGGAUGAUAAUGUUGCAGAUAGAUGAACACUGAAUUAGUUCACAUUUGAUCUUGGUUCUAUACGAUCUUCUAUAUUUGGGUCUCGUAGGUCUGUCUCCCAAGAGCAACGAGAAGAAAUCUGUUAACACAUUACUGCAUUAUAUGUAACAUAUGUCCAUUUUCACGGAAUGAAGGGUGAGUGCUAAUUACUUGUGCUCAACCAUUAUGGGGCCCCGAACUUUCUGACCAUUCGAGUUAUACUCCAGAGUCUUGAUGUUGACUGAAUUGAAAAUUUGGAGCUGUCAAGACUCGAGCUUUGUUUUUCGUGACGCUAAGAGCAGUAAACGACUGUGUGUCUGGUAAGAGCAGUAAACAACUGUGUGUCUGGUACACGGUGUUCAUUUUCUUAUGAUUUGUAUGCGUGUGUGCUCUAAGCAGGUGAUGUUCUUUGAGCCGGCAACUACACAAUCUACUCUAUGAAGCUAUCUCUAAUCGUGGUCAAUUUUGUUUAUCCAAGAGAGUUCUUGUAGCAUCUCUAACCCAUCCCUUUAAAAACCUUUAACUCCACAUUUUGAGGAUUUAACCGCACCAAGCUGAUCCCUAAAACCAAUAGAGGAGUAAAAAUUGUAAGUGUCGGCCCAAAAAUGCAGCCCAACUCUCCCAAAUAUAUUUGACCAGCGCCUCCCAAGGUAAAAUUUCGGACGCCUCUCGCUCCCACUUGAGCGCAUGACUUCCUAUGUCGCCGCCCAUUCUCGCCGCCUCCACCAUCAAUGCCCCUGAUCGAACUCAGAAUGGAACCACAAGACACUUCCACCAUCCAGCCGGCCACCACCGCUGGCAUGAUGGCGUCGGAAUCGACCCACACGCCGCCACCCGCACCAAGGAAGAGGUUGGGGACGAAAAAACUUGCUUCGGGCCACCACCCUGUCAACCAAGGUCGACAUGCGGCAGCAUGGGCAGUGGGAAGGCCGUCGUGUCACCCUCCCCCCAGCUCCAGCAGGCGGCAAGCGGAAAAGGAAGCCGACAACGACCAUGAAGGUGCUCGCUGGGGAGGAGGAGGCGAAGAGAAGAAAGAGAUGUCAUUUGAUGCAUAUGAUAGGAAUUUUUUCAUUGAGUCUAGGCUAAUGUUUUUCUUCCUUUGAAAUGUGAAGGAUUGAUUGAUAUGCUAUAUAGGAAUAGGAAUCCGUUCCUACAAAUCAAAGGGGUCCAAAGGAAUUUUUCCUACAAAGCUCCUAUGCUUUACAAUUCCUACAACAUUCCUAUGAACCAAAAGAGGCUUUAGACUCUGGCAUAGAAGGCAGUGUUGACAUCAGAUGUAUCAACAGGUUCCGGAGUCUUCUGCUUCUUGGUAGAUGACUGUGGAGGUGACCUCGCAGCCCACUUUGGGAAGUUCUACAAGAGUGUCCAGCAGUGAAUCAACACAUACAACCCAUUAACAGUCGCCACAAGGGCGCCUCCUCGCGUGUGCCACGAGGAACGAACAGAUUGGGUAGGGAAAUAAAAAGGAUAAAAGGAAAAGCAAGAUAGUGUAGAAGAGGUCGAACGAAACCCUCCGUCCACCUCGAGCGCCUCCUCCUCCCUCUCCAUCGCCGCCACCCCUCCUCCCUCUGUCGCCGCCGCCGCCUCGCCCCUCCCCUGCGCUCGUGCCCUCUCCUUCUCCCACCCCGGGCUCCAUCUUCUCCGGCCCCUUCCUGCGCUCCACCCCUUCCUCCUCGUUGUGGCAGGCAUCGCCGCUGCUGCGGAGGGAUCCUCAACGCCGCCGCAUCCGAGACAGCCCUAGUUGUGGCAGGCGACUCCAUCACCGGUCGCGUGCGGCGGAGGCCAGCCCAGAUCCGCCUCCUCCAGCCCAUCCUCUUCGUCACGCACAACGGGAAAGAUUGGGUUUGAGCUCCACCACCCCAUCCCAUGCCGUUGUUCGUCGGUAGUAGACCGAGCUCCGCCUCCACACCCACCGUCCUUCCUUGUCGGCCCUUUUGUGUGUCGGGAACGGACCUCGGCGGCGUUUGCCUGGACAAGACCUCAACGGCGACCUGCAGGUCCCCAUUGAGAUGCCUGGAUACUUAUCUAAAUAUAAGGUGCCUGACAUUAUUGAUUCCUU